This 399-nucleotide ribosomal RNA is filed under the name uncultured bacterium. Its description in RNAcentral is "partial 16S ribosomal RNA". It matches the Rfam family "Bacterial small subunit ribosomal RNA", at positions 360 to 776 of the family's 1533-position model. The record is from RNAcentral.
AAUAUUGCACAAUGGGCGAAAGCCUGAUGCAGAAACGCAGUGUGAGUGAUGAAGGCCUUCGGGUCGUAAAGCUCUUUGAUCAGGGAAGAAAAUGACAGUACCUGAAAAACAAGCAACGGCUCACUACGUGACAGCAACCGCGGUAAUACGUAGGUGGCGAGCGGUGUCCGGAAUUACUGGGCGUAAAGGAUGCGUAGGGUGAUAUUUAAGCGGGAUGUGAAAUCCCCGGGCUCAACCCGGGAACUGCAUUCCAAACUGGGUAUCUAGAGUGCAGGAGAGGAAAGCGGAAUUCCUAGUGUAGCGGUGAAAUGCGUAGAUAUUAGGAGGAACACCAGUGGCGAAGGCGGCUUUCUGGACUGUAACUGACACUGAGGCAUGAAAGCGUGGGUAGCAAACAGG